AACCAGUGCCUCCACAGAGACAAACCUGAUCAUUAACCCACUACGCCAAAGUGGAAACUCAGACUUAGGUAUUUGGAAUACAUUCUAUUGAAAAUGAAUGAAGCGAGCUUGUCUAUUCAAGGAAAACAACUGAUAAUAUUUGUGGCCAAAGAGAAAUUUGAAUUUUCAGGCUCAGAACUACAGUAACCCCAGCGUCAGCAGACCAUGAGGCAAACACUUCUUUUUCAACAGUCUGAGAAUGCCCAAGGGUCACUGAGCUUGGGUCUCUGCCAUUCACGGGAGGAGCAGAGUCAAAUGUAAAGGAGUGGGGUAUGCAGAUGGGCCAAGCUUGAGAUGCAGCUCACCCUGGGACCAGAGAGGGCUCCUGCUGCUUGGGAACAGAUCGAGGGCUGGAGCCAGAGUGAAUGCUUCUCUGAGGCCCUCAGAGUGGACAGAGAGAGGCGAGAAGGGGACCACAGGAGGAGCAAAGCUAGCAUCUUUUCAGCGAUUGCCUUUUGCUGGGAGUUGUCGUGAAGGGUCUUCAUGGAGGGUCCCACUGACCCGACAGCCUAUGAGGUGGGUACUGCUACCUUUCCUGGGUUACUGAGGGAACACUAAAGCACAGAGAGGUUAAGCAACUCUUCCAGAGUCACGCAGCAGUGCACCCAAAACCCUGGUGUGUCUGAUUUCAAAACCCUCUCUCUUGGUUGGUACCAGGAGGUGGAGCCAGGAGGGAGAGAGAUGACUUUAAUGUCCUCAUCUGGAAUGGGAGAGGACUGGGCUAGGCCACAUGCUUUCUUUCUUUCUUUUUCU
Sus scrofa (pig) is the source of this 792-nucleotide non-coding RNA. The record is from RefSeq and is a predicted model, not a curated record. Lineage: Eukaryota; Metazoa; Chordata; Mammalia; Artiodactyla; Suidae.